This 462-nucleotide ribosomal RNA is filed under the name uncultured bacterium. Its description in RNAcentral is "SSU rRNA". It matches the Rfam family "Bacterial small subunit ribosomal RNA", at positions 26 to 518 of the family's 1533-position model. The record is from RNAcentral.
AGAACGAACGCUGGCGGCAUGCCUAACACAUGCAAGUCGGACGCUUUCGGGGGUUUCGGCCUCCGAGGGAGUGGCGGACGGGUGAGUAGCGCGUGGGAACCUGCCCCUUUGUGGGGAUAACCGAGGGAAACUUCGGCUAAUACCGCAUGCGCCCGGGGGUAACUCCGGGGAAAGAUUUAUCGCAGAGGGAGGGGCCCGCGUCGGAUUAGGUAGUUGGUGGGGUAACGGCCUACCAAGCCGGUGAUCCGUAGCUGGUCUGAGAGGAUGAUCAGCCACACUGGGACUGAGACACGGCCCAGACUCCUACGGGAGGCAGCAGUGGGGAAUAUUGGACAAUGGGCGCAAGCCUGAUCCAGCAAUGCCGCGUGAGUGAUGAAGGCCUUAGGGUUGUAAAGCUCUUUCGGCGGGGACGAUGAUGACGGUACCGCAGAAGAAGCCCGGCUAACUCGUGCCAGCAGCCGC